This 253-nucleotide ribosomal RNA is filed under the name uncultured bacterium. RNAcentral's name for it is "partial 16S ribosomal RNA". It matches the Rfam family "Bacterial small subunit ribosomal RNA", at positions 524 to 776 of the family's 1533-position model. The record is from RNAcentral.
UACAUGGGGUGCAAACGUUGCUCGGAAUUAUUGGGCGUAAAGCGCACGUAGGCGGUUCGUUAAGUCGGAUGUGAAAGCCCUCGGCUCAACUGAGGAAGUGCACCCGAAACUGGCGAGCUUGAGUACGAAAGAGGAUCGCGGAAUUCCCGGUGUAGAGGUGAAAUUCGUAGAUAUCUGGAGGAACACCGGUGGCGAAGGCGGGUCUCUGGGCCGAUACUGACGCUGAGGAGCGAAAGCGUGGGGAGCGAACAGG